UCCCUGCUGGUCCAAUGGUUAAGACUCUGAGCUCCCAGUUCAGGGGGCCUGGGUUCCAUCCCUGGUCAGGGAA
RNAcentral lists this transfer RNA (73 nucleotides) under Odocoileus virginianus texanus. It matches the Rfam family "tRNA". Rfam says of the family: Transfer RNA (tRNA) molecules are approximately 80 nucleotides in length. Their secondary structure includes four short double-helical elements and three loops (D, anti-codon, and T loops). Lineage: Eukaryota; Metazoa; Chordata; Mammalia; Artiodactyla; Cervidae. RNAcentral also lists the same sequence under 1 other name. The record is from Rfam by way of RNAcentral.